Anthonomus grandis grandis is the source of this 1963-nucleotide long non-coding RNA. RefSeq lists it as uncharacterized. The record is from RefSeq and is a predicted model, not a curated record. The transcript has 3 exons. Lineage: Eukaryota; Metazoa; Arthropoda; Insecta; Coleoptera; Curculionidae.
GAUUGGCUGUGCAAAAAUAAAACAUGUUCUCCAAUCGGACAUUACGGAUAGUGAGCAUGAUUACUCACGGAGUAUGUCUUCUCCGUUACGGCAAAGUUUACUGAAUAAAAUAUGUAUUUUAUUCAGUAAACUUUGGUUACGGAGAGUUACCAUUGGUCCGGGAUUAAGUUAAUAAUCUCCGAGGCGAGUGCAGUACCGAUGUUCCUACUUCUGUUAAUACCCCUGCUAUUGAUCCUGCAUUAAAAGAUGUUACUAAUACGCCAGGUACUGACAUUUUAGAAUGGAAGACGAACGAGAAUGAUAUCCAGGAAAACCAACAGGAACUGAACCAUUCUCAACAAAUUUCAAACCGGGACAAUAUAAAUGACUGCAAAAAUGCAAGCCAGUAUGAAGGUACAAGUCGACAACAAGAGUUACUUGAAAAUAUUGAAGAUUCUGACGACUCAAUUAAAGAUACAGAUUAUGUUAACCAGUCAUCUUCAUCAUCUUCUAGUUGUAGUACUUGCAGCGCAUCCUCAGUUUCUGACUCUUCCUCUGAAGAGGAAAAUGUGAAACCAGAUGAUAUUAGCAAGAAAAGAAAGAUUGGUCCAGAAAAGUGGCUAAAAAAUGCAGCUAAGCGUCUUAGAAAUACAGGUAAAGAGUAUAGAAAUGCCAAGACAAAAAAGAUCUUUUUAAAAAGGCAUAUACAACUACCAUGUGAUGAAAAGUGCAAACUUAAGUGUUUUACUAAAUUUACUGAGAAGCAGUGUCUAAAUAUUUUUGGAAAUUAAAUAGUCUUCAAAGACAGCGUGAUUUUCUCAUAGCGCAAGUAUGACAGUUAUUCUUCCCCGAUACAGAUACGUUAGAGAAGGUAGUAAUCGUAAACCAAAUAACGCUUUUCACUUUGAGGUCGAGGAUAAAAGAAUUCGAGUUUGCAAAAUAUUUGUUAAGAACACUUUAUCAAUCAAUGAUCGUCCAAUCAGAACUGUUAUCAGUAAAAGGGAUCCCGAGCAUCCACAAUUUAUUAAAAGUGACUUACGCGGAAAACAUGCCAACCACAUUAAAUUAGAUGAGGAAAUAAAGCAGAGCAUACAUCAACAUAUUAAAUCAGUUCCUAGAAUACCUAGCCAUUAUUGCCGAUCCAAUACUAAUAAAGAAUUUAUCGAGGGUGGCUUAACAGUCACUAAUUUACAUCAUGAUUAUUAAAAAAAAAAACGCGAGGAAGUGGGAAAAACAGCAUCAAAUUAUGUUAUGUAUUACAAAAUAUUUAGUGAAGAAUACAACAUUUCCUUUUCUAUACCUAAAAAGGACCAAUGCCAGUUAUGCGUCGCUUUUGAAAAUGGAUGUGAUAGCGAUAAAGAAAGACUAAAGGACAAAUAUGAAGAACAUUUAAAUCAAAAAGAACCUUCGCGGAUCGAAAAAGAGGCUGACAGAGAGUCAUUAGCUUUUGUAGCUGCCUAUGAUCUCCAGGUAGUAUUACCUUGCCCGAAAGGUAUUGCAUCCUCUUCCUAUUACGUGUCCAAGUUAAAUGUAUUGAAUUUUACUAUACUAUAUAAUUUUAAUAUAUAAUUUUAUUAUAAUUUUACUAAUUUUACUAAAAUGUAUUUAGAUUUCUAUGACUGUAAAGCUUUGGCUAACUCUGUAGGCAUAGGAACUAACUUACCAUUUAAAAUUUCCGAUUUACAAGUUUUAAAAGUGCAAAAGAAUAAUCCAGAUAAGACUUUCUACAAAAUGUGUUUUGAACAAGAAAACUUUGAUGACGUAGAUAUAGAAAAGCCUAGGACCAUAAGAGGAAGAAUAACAGGGCUAAUCAAUGGAUUAUUAUUAGCUUAUCAAAAUAAAAUUGGAAUAAGCGAUAAUAAAAAGAAAAGCCUACUUUCAUUAUUUGAUGAAAACACCAAUAAAGGUUCUGCUAUUCCUAAAAUUUAUAAAAGUUGCUAUAAUAACCUUUAGGUAAACCACUUAUUAAUAUCCUGCUGUUAUA